This 396-nucleotide ribosomal RNA is filed under the name uncultured bacterium. Its description in RNAcentral is "partial 16S ribosomal RNA". It matches the Rfam family "Bacterial small subunit ribosomal RNA", at positions 360 to 773 of the family's 1533-position model. The record is from RNAcentral.
AAUAUUGGACAAUGGGGGCAACCCUGAUCCAGCCAUGCCGCGUGAGUGAUGAAGGNCUNNGGGUUNUNAAGCUCUUUCAGUGGNNNNNAUAAUGACGGUACCCACAGAAGAAGACCCGGCUAACUUCGUGCCAGCAGCCGCGGUAAUACGAAGGGGGCUAGCGUUGUUCGGAUUUACUGGGCGUAAAGCGCACGUAGGCGGAUUGGUCAGUUAGGGGUGAAAUCCCGGGGCUCAACUCCGGAACUGCCUUUAAUACUGCCAGUCUAGAGACCGAGAGAGGUGAAUGGAACUCCUAGUGUAGAGGUGGAAUUCGUAGAUAUUAGGAAGAACACCAGUGGCGGAGGCGGCUCACUGGCUCGGUACUGACGCUGAGGUGCGAAAGCGUGGGGAGCAAAC